GCUCUUUCAAAAAUAACUUCAACUGGUGCUAUGACUUUCUGUUUCAUUCAAGCUAUUGAGCGUGGUCAUGGUGCCACAUAUGGAAGUAUAUUGACGGCAAUGAGAAAUGCUAUUCGACAAGCUGGUGGAAGUUCAGGGGGUGACUUUGGUGGCGGUGCUGUUACAUCUCUCAUCUCCAUGCUUCUGACAGGAGGUAGUGGUGGUAUGGGUGGAGGAUUUAGUCAGGAGCCCCAAUUAACAGCUUGCCAGCCAUUCGAUGUGUAUGCGAAGCCAUUUUCAUUGUGAUAUUCCUUCUGCCCUCGUCCUCCUUUUGGUGUGUUUGGAUUUGGAUUUUUUUGUAAAGAUAGAAAUUCGUCGGGUCCUAUCAUAUGCUGCUUUAGGCAUGAGAACGCGAAUAGCUUUGCUUUCUGAUAGAAAGUUUUGUAAUGAAAUUAUUGUCAAUAUAGCUGACCUUUAACUGUUGCAAUAUCUACAGAUUUA
This 480-nucleotide unclassified non-coding RNA is filed under the name Hevea brasiliensis (rubber tree). Lineage: Eukaryota; Viridiplantae; Streptophyta; Magnoliopsida; Malpighiales; Euphorbiaceae. The record is from RNAcentral.